Molecule: ribosomal RNA, 116 nt
Filed under: Cedecea sp. P7760
Lineage: Bacteria; Pseudomonadati; Pseudomonadota; Gammaproteobacteria; Enterobacterales; Enterobacteriaceae
Source: RNAcentral
CCUGGCGGCCGUAGCGGGGUGGUCCGACCUGAGCCCAUGCCGAACUCAGAAGUGAAACGCCGUAGCGCCGAUGGUAGUGUGGGGUCUCCCCAUGCGAGAGUAGGGAACUGCCAGGC